Molecule: unclassified non-coding RNA, 430 nt
Filed under: soil metagenome
Description: partial contains 5.8S ribosomal RNA, internal transcribed spacer 2, and large subunit ribosomal RNA
Rfam family: 5.8S ribosomal RNA (bases 1-120)
Source: RNAcentral
GAUGAAGAACGUAGCGAAAUGCGAUACGUAAUAUGAAUUGCAGAAUUCAGUGAAUCAUCGAAUCUUUGAACGCAUAUUGCGCUCUCUGGUAUUCCGGAGAGCAUGCUUGUUUGAGUAUCAGUAAACACCUCAACUCCCUUUUCUUUUUUGAAAUUGGAGCUGGACUUGAGUGAUCCCAACGCUUUCUUCCAAGAAAGUGGCGGGUUGCUUGAAAUGCAGGUGCAGCUGAACUUUUCUCUGAGCUAUAAGCAUAUCUAUUUAGUCUGCCUAAAAAACAGAUUAUUACCUUUGCUGCAGCUAACAUAAAGGAGACUAGUUCUUGUGCUGACUGAUGCAGGAUUCACAGAGACAGCUUCGGCUGACUUUGUAAACUCGAUCUCAAAUCAAGUAAGACUACCCGCUGAACUUAAGCAUAUCAAUAAGCGGAGGA